Long non-coding RNA from Melanotaenia boesemani (Boeseman's rainbowfish), 153 nucleotides. RefSeq lists it as uncharacterized. NCBI's taxonomy places the organism in Eukaryota, Metazoa, Chordata, Actinopteri, Atheriniformes, Melanotaeniidae. The transcript has 3 exons. The record is from RefSeq and is a predicted model, not a curated record.
UGCCCAUGUGAUUUGGGAAAAAAUGAGUCUGGAAACACUUUGUUUUCACGCUGAAAUCCGCAUCAAUGAAAUGUAGCGUGACAUUUAUAUACGGCUCUAUGGUGCAGUUUGACCACAGAUCCAUAGUACGCCACGUCCUUCAUAACACCCUCA